RNAcentral lists this ribosomal RNA (253 nucleotides) under uncultured bacterium. RNAcentral describes it as "partial 16S ribosomal RNA". It matches the Rfam family "Bacterial small subunit ribosomal RNA", at positions 524 to 776 of the family's 1533-position model. The record is from RNAcentral.
GACGAAGGGGGCUAGCGUUGUUCGGAAUUACUGGGCGUAAAGCGCGUGUAGGUGGUUGUCGUAGUCGGGUGUGAAAGCCUUGAGCUCAACUCAAGAAAUGCACUUGAUACUGGGCAGCUAGAGGACCGGAGAGGAUAGUGGAAUUCCCAGUGUAGUGGUGAAAUACGUAGAGAUUGGGAAGAACACCAGUGGCGAAGGCGGCUAUCUGGACGGUUUCUGACACUAAGACUCGAAAGCGUGGGGAGCAAACAGG